Zingiber officinale is the source of this 106-nucleotide small nucleolar RNA. The record is from RefSeq and is a predicted model, not a curated record. NCBI's taxonomy places the organism in Eukaryota, Viridiplantae, Streptophyta, Magnoliopsida, Zingiberales, Zingiberaceae.
AAACCAUAAUGAGGGCAAUGCCUUAAUAAACUUUUAAAUCUUUCCCAUGCUUUAAAUAGCAAUUUUCCAUUUGCUUGAGCAAAACUUGUAUUGCACUUCCUCGUAC